Molecule: ribosomal RNA, 301 nt
Filed under: uncultured bacterium
Lineage: Bacteria
Description: partial 16S ribosomal RNA
Rfam family: Bacterial small subunit ribosomal RNA
Source: RNAcentral
CAGCCGCCGCGGGAAUACGUAGGGUGCAAGCGUUAAUCGGAAUUACUGGGCGUAAAGCGUGCGCAGGCGGUGUUGUAAGACUGAUGUGAAAUCCCCGGGCUCAACCUGGGAACUGCAUUGGUGACUGCAACGCUGGAGUGCGGCAGAGGGGGAUGGAAUUCCGCGUGUAGCAGUGAAAUGCGUAGAUAUGCGGAGGAACACCGAUGGCGAAGGCAAUCCCCUGGGCCUGCACUGACGCUCAUGCACGAAAGCGUGGGGAGCAAACAGGAUUAGAUACCCCCGUAGUCCCUGUCUCUUAUAC